Molecule: unclassified non-coding RNA, 201 nt
Filed under: Ascomycota sp.
Lineage: Eukaryota; Fungi; Ascomycota
Description: partial contains small subunit ribosomal RNA, internal transcribed spacer 1, and 5.8S ribosomal RNA
Rfam family: Eukaryotic small subunit ribosomal RNA (bases 1-47)
Source: RNAcentral
AAAGUCGUAACAAGGUCUCCGUAGGUGAACCUGCGGAGGGAUCAUUAUCGAAUGGCCCACUGGGCCUUCCAACCCCACACACCCGUGGAAAUCGAAACUGUGCUUUGGUGCCGUAAGGCGCCAUAUUCAUGCGAUUUGUAUUAUGUUGUCUGAAUUAAAAACUAGAAUUGAAAACUUUCAACAAAGGAUCUCUUGGCUCUC